AUGACCCAGCCAGGGCCUUAUAUAGGCCUGUCUGUUAUGACAUCACAAAGGCUUUUCAUGAGCUCAGAGCAAAGCAGGGCCAAUCAUGGCUGGGGAUCUUUCACAGAGGUUUUCUCUCUUUUGGUCCCCAAAACAUCUUUCUCUUUUAAAAAGUUAUGGAUCAACACACCACCUAUAUCUACUGCACACGUCCCUCCCUUUCACAGUGCAUUAACUUCAGAUGUGUGCUCUGCCUCUUUCUGUCUUCCCACCAAAUCAAAAACAACUCAUAGCCAGCUACAGAAGACAGAAUGGAUUAUGUUGGAAGAGCAUCAAGGAGUCCAUCAUCAAGAUUUUAGGAAUCAGUAAAUAUUUACUCAGAAAUAUCUUCUUCAGUGGACCAUCAUUUUGCUUUAAAUAUCACCAGCAGAAAUUCAUUCUUUGAGCUAAGUUACUAUUUCUAGAAAAACAAAUACAAAGAUAUGUCCAGAAAGAGCUGCUUAUUCGUUUUUGGCUUGUUUUGUUUUUUGAGAUGGAGUCUCACUCUGUUGUCCAGGCUGGGGUGCAGUGGCACGAUCUUGGCGCACUGCAACCUCUGCCUCCCAAAUUCAAGCAAUUUUCCUGCCCCAGCCUCCCAAGUAGGUGGGACUACCGGUGCACAACA
This 643-nucleotide long non-coding RNA is filed under the name Callithrix jacchus (white-tufted-ear marmoset). RNAcentral describes it as "lncRNA (ENSCJAG00000058729.2)". The record is from RNAcentral. Lineage: Eukaryota; Metazoa; Chordata; Mammalia; Primates; Cebidae.